This is an RNA transcript of Capra hircus (goat), 2721 nucleotides long. It is a transcript of the gene named peptidylprolyl isomerase like 6, with no coding region annotated. The transcript is spliced from 4 exons. Lineage: Eukaryota; Metazoa; Chordata; Mammalia; Artiodactyla; Bovidae. The record is from RefSeq and is a predicted model, not a curated record.
UGUUUGUGACCCCAGGAGUCCCUGCGCGCAGGCAUGGCGAGCCAGCAGCAGUCGGUUCCAUGCAUCUCGCGGUCGCCACCCGAACAGCCGCUUCAGGUGAAGGUGGUGGGGCUUUUCAAGAGCUCCAGCUUUCAGAUCGCUAAGAGCGCCGCUGAGAGUCUGAAGAGUAAUUAUCCAUCCAAAUUUGAAGAUCCUAUAAUAAUUCCUGUUCAAGAAUUUGCAUGGCAUCAAUAUCUGCAAGAGAAAAAAAGGUCAUUUUACCAAGCUGAUAUUAAGAAAAAGUAAAACACUUCCAGGAUUUUCUUUUGGAAGGCAAGCAAUAAAGGAACUCAAGAAUGAAGUCUGGGAAUAUUCUUCCUAUGUGAUGUGUUUUAUUAAUGAUAAGCUCCUGGGUGAUGCACUUGAUCUACAGAAAUGGGCCCACAAAGUAUGGGAUAUAGUUGAUUUUAAGCCUCCUGCACUUUAUGAAGCACUUACUGUAGAUUAUUCUGCCAAAUUCUUAAGAGACACCAAGGCAAGUUACGCUAAUUUUUUAAAAAAGGAAAAUAGUGGAAUCUUUGAGCGUUUAUAUUGAUUAAGCACUAAUUACUGAUAAACCUAGUAAAGGGAAUAUAAAAGGACUAGGUUAAGUUCUCAAUGAACUUGUGAUCUUUAGUUGCAAAGAACUGGUGGGGUUUGGCUCGGUGGUAUGUAAAGCCAGCCUAUCUCACAGCAGGUAGACGGCACAGGCGGAAGAAGCAUCCCUGAUGGAACAUUUCGACUCUCCACGAGAAGCUUAUGUGCGUUAAUUGGCAUCUAUUUAAAAAUAUUAAGACCUCCUCCCUCAGACAAAGUCAAACCUAUCCUUUACUCACUUGGAGCAUGAAAUAUUUUGAUUAGUAUGUUGUAACACCUAAGUGAGAGCUCCUGCACGGAGAGACUGGCAAGUCUGAGAAGAACGGUGACACCCAGGUGGCAGGAGGAGCAGCGAGCGAUGGCCCUGCCGGUUUCCAGUGGUAGAGGACGGUCAUGAAGCUUGAGGUCCAGAGAGCAAGAGACAGAGGUCAGGGUGGGAUGGGCCACCUCCGUGAGGCUGGUAAACGGAUGCAGUUUUGCUCAUGAACCUUGUUGCAGCAACAGCUGCCACAUGCUGAAAAUCAUGUCAUGCCCAUGGUGGCCUGUGCCUACAUAAAGACCCAGAGCUAGGAUCUGAGCCAUGCAAUGCCCAAGACCUUGUCUCAUUCACCCUUAUUCAACCACUGCCUUGAACAGAACCUGAAACAUAGGAGGUGCUCAGUGAAUAUUUUGUUGAAUAAACAGUACACUUGCAAAAUGCUCUAAACUCUAAGGCGUGGAGAGGAAUUUAACAUUCAGAGCAGUUCAUUCCCAAAGGGCCAAGAGUCUCAAACUACAUGGUGUGCUCUGGGGACGGCAGAGGACAGUAAGGCGGCCCGAAUGAGUGGGAAGGAGGCUGGGGAAAUGAGAGCAUCAGUCGGGAUUCUUGGUGCCAACGGUACCAAGCUGUUCUGAUUAACUUAAGGGGUAAAAGUAUGUACUGAGGGAUGUUGGUAAAUCCACAACUGACAGGAAGUUGGAGAGCCAGCUUUGGAAAGCAGGCAGGGACCAAGGGAGACCUGGCAGCAGGAAAACAUGGCCAGAGUCACGCCCCGGGCAAGUGCAGCCAGGGUGCUGCCAUGCGCGCCUGCUGUCCCUUGGGUCUCCCUGCCGCCUUCGCUGAGCAUGACUUCUCUGUUCUUCUUGGGUCUGUGCCGCUCCCCAGAGGUCGAAGGCCCCAGGCAGAAGCACCUGACCAGUCAAGCCCAGGUUAUGUGCCCACACCCUGGCUCUCACAUGGUGGGGAAAGACAGAAUGUUCUGCAGAGGCUGGUGCAACCCUGGGAGGAGUUUCCCAAAUAGGAAAGCUGCUUUCCUUUCCUGUUUUUUUGUUUUACAAAAACAAAAAACAGAAAACCUCCAAAACCAGAUCCACUAAGAAAAGGUUGAACUUACUGUCCACUCUUAACCAGGGAGUUUGAUUUUAUCUAGAAGAAAGCAGGCCAACAGAACUUUUCAUCAGAAGUAUGACAUAACCUUCUUUAGUGUUUUAGAAAAAAGUUCAGGGCUGAGGCCAAACAGGGUGGCGCAGGGAAAGCUUAAUGGCAGGGUGGCCAUUUGGAAAGCUGCUGGAGUAGUGUGGGCUAGAAAUAAUGGCAGCCUGAAUUAAUUAGUGGGUGAGGAAAGAGGACCCAGAUUCUAGAGAAAAUCCUUGGGUUUUUUGCCCAGAGGCUAGAUUUUUCAUGCUCAGUUAAACCCAGGGAGACUUGUUUACUUCUGGUUUGGAAUGAUAGAGUAGAUAAUUAGGUUUGGCUGAUAGGUGACAUUACCUUGUGUUAAAAGUCACUUUUUCUGUUUUCAUUAGGAUUUCUAAAAUUAUCUACACUUGACAACCACAUAAAGAUAAUAUAUUGAUGCCCAGGGAAGUUUAAUAAUCCCUGAAUGGACUCACGCAUUUUAGAAGUCAAUCAUAACUUCCAGUACGUCCUCUUUUUCCUCCUAAACCUGUGAAGCUUACCAUAUUAUGCCUCUUAAAGUUAUAAUAUUCUUUUAUAAUUAAGAACUUGUAAUACAGAAGGAGAGAGGCACAAACAUAAUCAUAAUUAUUAAUAGUAUGGAUAGAAAUACUUCAUUCCUGGAUACCAGGUAUUAUAAUACUAUCUUAGUCUUUAAUUUAAAAAAGAGCUUG